Molecule: ribosomal RNA, 696 nt
Filed under: uncultured bacterium
Lineage: Bacteria
Description: bacterial SSU rRNA
Rfam family: Bacterial small subunit ribosomal RNA
Source: RNAcentral
AACGCUAGCUACAGGCUUAACACAUGCAAGUCGAGGGGAAACGACAUCGAAAGCUUGCUUUUGAUGGGCGUCGACCGGCGCACGGGUGAGUAACGCGUAUCCAACCUGCCCACCACUUGGGGAUAACCUUGCGAAAGUAAGACUAAUACCCAAUGAUAUCUCUAGAAGACAUCUGAAAGAGAUUAAAGAUUUAUCGGUGAUGGAUGGGGAUGCGUCUGAUUAGCUUAUUGGCGGGGUAACGGCCCACCAAGGCGACGAUCAGUAGGGGUUCUGAGAGGAAGGUCCCCCACAUUGGAACUGAGACACGGUCCAAACUCCUACGGGAGGCAGCAGUGAGGAAUAUUGGUCAAUGGGCGAGAGCCUGAACCAGCCAAGUAGCGUGCAGGAAGACGGCCCUAUGGGUUGUAAACUGCUUUUAUAAGGGAAUAAAGUGAGUCUCGUGAGACUUUUUGCAUGUACCUUAUGAAUAAGGACCGGCUAAUUCCGUGCCAGCAGCCGCGGUAAUACGGAAGGUCCGGGCGUUAUCCGGAUUUAUUGGGUUUAAAGGGAGCGUAGGCCGGAGAUUAAGCGUGUUGUGAAAUGUAGACGCUCAACGUCUGCACUGCAGCGCGAACUGGUUUCCUUGAGUGCGGUUGAGGUGUAUGGAAUUCGUGGUGUAGCGGUGAAAUGCUUAGAUAUCACGAAGAACUCCGAUUG